This is a non-coding RNA of Coturnix japonica (Japanese quail), 2413 nucleotides long. The record is from the annotation of a RefSeq genome assembly. Lineage: Eukaryota; Metazoa; Chordata; Aves; Galliformes; Phasianidae.
UGGGGGCAGCGAGACGCGGUGGAGCAGCGGGAUGCGGCAGUGCUGGGCAGGGCUGGCGGGACUGGCCGCGGUGAUCCUUGUGGCUGUGAGCAGAGCCCAGGUGCAGCAGGAGCCGUCGGCAGAGACCAGAGAGGGCACCGGCAUCGGCAUCACCUGCUCACGCACCAACAUACAGUCUUAUAUAUACUGGUACCGUCAGUUCCCAGGCCAAGGCCUCGCAUUCAUCGCCAGCGCCUUCCAAGGCGCCAAGGAGGUGGUGGAACCGGCGGGGCGGCUGUCGGUGUCGGCAGACCGCCGCUCCAGCACCUUGUGGCUCUCCCGUCCCCGACUCACGGACGCGGCGGUGUAUUACUGCGCCGUGGACCCACGGGAAGCGAAGCCGGGGCUGCGGCCGGGCACGAACUGCGGCGGGCGGCGCAGUUCGACCCGCAGGGGGCGCUGCCGGUGCUGGAAAACUUUUAACAGGCCCAUUGUUCAGUGAAUGUCCCUGUAGGGAUCGUUUUCACGUUCCUGGGUUUUCUUUAGCGAUUGCUUUCCAGGAGCAUGCGCUUUUUGAACACGGUUUCGUCUUGCCCCAAACACAGCACCUUUGGUAUUGAUAUGACUUCCUGACAGUACCACAAAUAUCUGCACUUGACACUCAUUCUAAUGACCCCUUUUGGAAACUCAUUUUUUGGCACAGUGCUAAUUUAUCCUCACAGGAUCCUCAAAGAGAAGAGCACCUGUUCUCUUUGAGAAGGCAUUGAAAAUGUUCAGUUUUAGUGCUUAGCUGAGCCAGGGGGUCUCUACUACCCAUGCUGAAUCACAAGGUUAUGUGUGCCUAUACCUGACAGCUAAGUAGAAGUUGGUGGUUAGAGGUCCUUCACUACCUGAGCUGGAGAGUGUUUCUCUCCCUGUGGAGGGCUUCCUGCAGUAGCAGCUGUGCAUGGAGAUGUUUCCUUUAUAGGACUUGGUUCAUGCUCCUGGGAACAGAGAAAGUUGGAGAGAAAGUUGACACCUGGGUCUAAGUUCCUUUGUGUAUGACUGGUCAUACCUCCACCCAGACAGUCCCCAGGGAAACAGAGAAGGGCAGUAGAAGCAAUCCCUUCUCCACUGAUAGCAGCGGUAGGUGCAGUUAUCUGAGUCUGGCUGAGUUCUGUAUGGCAGGGUAGAUCACUGGGGACACUUGCUCUUUGCUGGGACUGGCUGUGAGCAUCAAGAAGGACAAAGCGAGGGAAGUACACAGGGGUCACUUUUGGUGACUUUUACCUUAUAACUAACUGAGUGACCUUCAGAACCAUCAAAUUCAGUUGUGACCUGACCACAUAAGGCAGUUGUACUUGAAGAAGGGACCUCUGUAGGUCCCUUGCAACCAUUCAUUCCAUGUAAGAAGCUCCUAGUGCUGAAAAGUCUGUGGCUGACCAUAGGUAACCCUCACCACAGGACAGAUUGAUUUGAUUUUUCUCUCGAGAGGUUUAACCACCAGUUCCUCUUGGCUAUUGAGAUCCCUAGAAGUAGCAUAGCGAGCUUUGCUCCACCCCCACUGUUGAAGUGUAGAGGCUGCUUAUAGCUGGCCGAGAGAGAAGCUGAGAACUUGCCAGCUUCAGCUCUGUCAUUCCAAGCACUGCACAGUACCCAGUGAAGGCAAAGAGUGUGACAUGGUCCUGCUUAUUCUGACAGCCUUGAUGGGACUGACAGACUUUGGUGAGAUGUGAUCUUCUGAAGGGGAAGAUUGGGGCAAGAUAACACCCCGUCAUUUCUGGAGGGGGGGAAAUAUGAGUGCUAUCUCCCUGGUAAAACUGGAAAUAUUUUCUGUAGGGAAAACAGGGCCUGCAGAUGGGUACAGUGAUUAAUCUGGCAGAUGUCAGGAGCAAUGACAGUAUGGAGAUGAAUAAGUUUCUGGCCUUUUCUGCUGCAGAUACUUAGCAGCAGAUACUUUCAUGCACUUUUCAUAGGUAUGUAUGGUGAAAGAAGGAUUGCUGCUAGGGAACAGAUCAGAACAGUAAAUAGGAGCUUGUACCCUCCUGGAUAUAUUGGAGAAAAUGCUGUUAAGAUUGUGUGGAGAUGGGUAUAAUCCUUGAUAGAGCAGGAAAGAAGGUUGAGUCCAUACAAGAACUUCAGUGUGAUUCAGGAGAAAGCAAGGACAGAAUAUGUGGGAGGAAGUAUGGAGUAAAUUUCACAGUAAGAAAUCACAAAGUGAGGUGGGACAGGAAUAACUCGUGUCUCCUACCAAAAGAGAAAUAAAGAGUUAAUACAGCUUGGGGAUGGACAGAACAGGUGGACUCAGAGCCUAGUGUGAUAAAACAGUUAAGCUGACAGCCUUGGGCAUGAGUAGUGAAAGAAAAGUGCAUGUGUACUUAGCUCAGGAUUUUACAGCCUGUGAAAAGUGAAAUGUAGAGAGGAGACAGUGAGCAGGUUGGAACAAUGACAGAUG